UUAAAUCGGUUAGGGCUUUUGCCAACCUCUCAAACUCUUCACGUGUGACGUUCUCGGCCAUCACUUGAUUUUGUUCUCACAAAUCCGUCCAGAACAAAUCACUGGAAUAAAUCGCAAAGGAUUUUUUUUUUUUUUUUUUACGUGUGCUGGACUACAAAUCCGUUCUGAUCGCAACUACAACUUGUCCAGAACGCGACUCCGUCCAGAAUGCAAAUCCGUCCAAAUCUCAGGUGUGCAGAUCGCAAAAAAAAAUCCGUCCAGAAUGCAAAAAAUCGCAAAACAACAAAAAAAAACUGAAAAUCGCAAAUCAGACUCCGUUCUAAUCGUGUAAUCCGUCCAGGUGAAUGAGAUCGCAAAUUCUUGCAGAUCGAGAAUGCAGAAUUGCGAUAAUGUAGAAUCCGUCCAGGUGAAAAAUCCGUCCAGGUGCGUUCUUGGCCAACUGCAGAUCAGGAAUCCCUCCUAGUCUGAUACCACUUGAUGUAGGCCUUGAACAGUUGAAGGAGACAGAUUCAAUGGAUGAGAGAAAUCUGUCCAGACUUGCGUUCCAAACCAAUGGAACAGUAAAUUAUAGAACUAGGGUUUAUGUUCUCCCUUGAAGAUCGAUAGAGAUAGAUGAGAUUAUCCCAAUCCAAAGAUAAUCGUGGUGUGGAAAAUGGC
This 657-nucleotide long non-coding RNA is filed under the name Zostera marina. RNAcentral's name for it is "long non-coding RNA (ZMAR_LNC006001)". The record is from RNAcentral. Lineage: Eukaryota; Viridiplantae; Streptophyta; Magnoliopsida; Alismatales; Zosteraceae.